This 463-nucleotide ribosomal RNA is filed under the name Vreelandella stevensii. RNAcentral's name for it is "partial 16S ribosomal RNA". It matches the Rfam family "Bacterial small subunit ribosomal RNA", at positions 338 to 795 of the family's 1533-position model. Lineage: Bacteria; Pseudomonadati; Pseudomonadota; Gammaproteobacteria; Oceanospirillales; Halomonadaceae. The record is from RNAcentral.
CCUACGUGGCUGCAGUGGGGAAUAUUGGACAAUGGGCGAAAGCCUGAUCCAGCCAUGCCGCGUGUGUGAAGAAGGCCUUCGGGUUGUAAAGCACUUUCAGUGGGGAAGAAAGCCUUGGGGCUAAUACCCUCGAGGAAGGACAUCACCCACAGAAGAAGCACCGGCUAACUCCGUGCCAGCAGCCGCGGUAAUACGGAGGGUGCGAGCGUUAAUCGGAAUUACUGGGCGUAAAGCGCGCGUAGGCGGUCUGAUAAGCCGGUUGUGAAAGCCCCGGGCUCAACCUGGGAACGGCAUCCGGAACUGUCAGGCUAGAGUGCAGGAGAGGAAGGUAGAAUUCCCGGUGUAGCGGUGAAAUGCGUAGAGAUCGGGAGGAAUACCAGUGGCGAAGGCGGCCUUCUGGACUGACACUGACGCUGAGGUGCGAAAGCGUGGGUAGCAAACAGGAUUAGAUACCCCAGUAGUC